RNAcentral lists this ribosomal RNA (101 nucleotides) under uncultured bacterium. RNAcentral's name for it is "partial 16S ribosomal RNA". The record is from RNAcentral.
UACGUUCCGGCUUGUACACACCGCCGUCACACCACGAAAGUCUGUCAAACCAGAAGUCAUGAGGUCUCCUCAUGCCGAAGGUUGGGCCGGUAAUUGGGGUG